Long non-coding RNA from Lepisosteus oculatus (spotted gar), 602 nucleotides. RefSeq lists it as uncharacterized. The record is from RefSeq and is a predicted model, not a curated record. Lineage: Eukaryota; Metazoa; Chordata; Actinopteri; Semionotiformes; Lepisosteidae.
GCAGGGUCCUCUCCACCAAAGGGAGUACAGUAUUUGUGAUCCUCUAGGACGAACACAAUGCAAGUGAAAGUAAUUAUUGCUGAGUGAAAGUACUGCAAUAUUUUUCCUGCUCAAAGAGCCAAACAGAUGUCCUUUGCUGGGAAUUAUGCUUUUGAAUUAUUCUGUAAUGAUGUCUACCAGGAGUGCAGCCACCGAAAUACUGAUGUCUUCAAUCUAUCAGUGUUUCUUGGGCUCUGAUAACAGAUGCUUUCUGGUCAGGUGAGAAAUUCACUUUUAGCAGCAAUACUCCUCGAGAGCCAAAAUCCAUCAUGAUGGUCCUUCGGCCACUGGAGAAUUAUAGACUUGGCCUUUUCACCUUCAGAAGACUGGAUAUGAAAGAACUGUGUCUGGGCCUCAGCAAUCUCCCCAGGAAUCACAUUUUGACUUCACUCUGCUUCAUAAACAAAGGUAUCCUGUCCUACUAACACUCCUGUAAGUCAAUUUACUGUUAGAAUUCUAAAGGGAAAGUCUUCACAUUAUUUACUAGUCACCGUAUCUCCAGUACAUCUGCAUUUUGUUGUACAGGCUGCCUGGAUUUGAUCUUGACCACAACUUCUCCACAU